UUACAUAUGAGGAUAUUAAGAUGGUUAAAUAAAAAUAUGAUGAAGCGACGAAGUUGCUGUCCUUUCUCCAACUUUGUGAUGAAUUCAAAAAGAAUUAUAUUGAUUUCAUCCACAAAUUUAUGAAACGAUGAAGUUGUUGUCCUAUCUCCAACUUUGUGAUGAAUUCAAAAAGAAUGUCUUCCAAAUUCAUGCUUUGUUCUUUGUUCUUUGGGUAACCUGUUUUUGUUUUGCAAUUCUCAUUGGGGGCCUCCUUAUGUUUGCAUAUUUGACCACCCUGCCGUCCCAGCUUCUGCCCCUUUGGCGACACUUUUUACUUGUUUUAUUGUGCGUUGGUGACAAAUCCCU
RNAcentral lists this long non-coding RNA (345 nucleotides) under Nicotiana benthamiana. RNAcentral's name for it is "long non-coding RNA (NBEN_LNC012485)". The record is from RNAcentral. Lineage: Eukaryota; Viridiplantae; Streptophyta; Magnoliopsida; Solanales; Solanaceae.